UACGUAGGUGGCGAGCGUUGUCCGGAUUUACUGGGCGUAAAGGGCGCGCAGGCGGUCUGUUAAGUCUAGGGUGAAAGCUCCCGGCUCAACUGGGAGAGGUCCUUGGAUACUGGCGGACUUGAGGGAGGCAGAGGAGAAUGGAAUUCCCGGUGUAGUGGUGAUAUGCGUAGAUAUCGGGAGGAACACCAGUGGCGAAGGCGGUUCUCUGGGCCUUACCUGACGCUGAGACGCGAAAGCGUGGGGAGCGAACCGG
Molecule: ribosomal RNA, 253 nt
Filed under: uncultured bacterium
Lineage: Bacteria
Description: partial 16S ribosomal RNA
Rfam family: Bacterial small subunit ribosomal RNA
Source: RNAcentral